This is a non-coding RNA of Monodelphis domestica (gray short-tailed opossum), 1347 nucleotides long. The record is from RefSeq and is a predicted model, not a curated record. Lineage: Eukaryota; Metazoa; Chordata; Mammalia; Didelphimorphia; Didelphidae.
GUGAGCUUCAUGGCGGCCCAUCUUGGUCUUAGCCUUCCUUGUCCUAUGGGCCAGGCACACGAAGGGGUCUUUGUUCUACACUUGCGGCCAAUCUGAAGGCGCGGGAAGAAAGAGCGUGCAGGAGGGCGGACCCGAGCCAUUCUGCUAGUGUUUACAACUAAUGUCGGAGGCCAGUGAUGGCAAACCUUUUGGAGUGACGCCCAAACUGGGCAUCCUCCAACCCAAAGGAGGGGACGAUGGAUCAUUUGGAUGACAUGAAACGGAAAAGCUUCCGCACAAGUAGGAUAAGAAGAGAAACCGUCAACCGGGGAGGAUUUCUUGUCCAUGCAUCUUCCAAGGGGUUGGUAUAAAAUACGCGUCUCCUAGGCUUCUCUUCGUUCUAGAAUGCACAGAAAUGUUUCUAGACCUGCGCACAUAUACAGAUGGGGGACAGGGGAGCCAGAGACAGGCAGCUCAGUCCAAAAGCCGGAUAUGCACAGUUCUCAAAAGGGCUGCAAGUUAUUCACGACUCUAGGAAACAUCGUUCUAUAUCCUCAGGAAGCGACAAGGGAAACAACUCUCGACUUUCACUUCAUCUUCACUGAAUGGGCCAAGAUGACAAAAGAUUAUUCCUGUCAAUGGUGGAGAGGUUUGGGGAAAACUAGCAAACUAACAUAUGGCUGGAGCUGAGAACUGGCUCAGCCAUUGGGAAAGCCAUUGGGAAUGAUGCUAAGAAAAUGGCUAAAAUGUCCAUCUCCUUUGACCCAGAGAUUCCAUCGCUAGGCCUAGACCCCAAGGAGGUCAUUGAUGAGAAGCAAAUCCCCAGAGAUCAAAAUUAUUUUAGUGGCUUUUUUGUAGUGCAAAAAAAUGGAACUGAAGUCGAUGCCUAACAUUUGGAGAAGAGCUAAACAAUUGGUGGUACGGGAAUUCAAUGGAAUAUUUCCUUGCUGUAAGAAAAAACAAAUAUAAUAAUUACAGAAGCAUGAAAAGUCUUAUGUAAACAGUCAAAAUGAAAUAGAAUAAAUAUGUGAGUGUAUGUACAUAUACACACACAUCUAUAACCAGGUCCGUAUAAAUAAAAGCCAUGAAACAACUGAAAAAUGAAUGUUGCAGAAUUACAAAGAACAGGCUUGGCCCCAAAGAUUAAAUAUGGGAAGACAUCUCCACAAUUCCUUUGAAGAACUAAGGUAUGUUCGUUCAGGAGAGAAUGUUGCCUAUAUUACCAGAUCUUUUCAAUUAGUUGUUUUGCUUAUUUAACAGGAAAACUAAGAAUUCAAAGGAAAUGGCUAAUUAUCAACAAAAGCCCAAAUUAAAAAAAAUAUAAGAAAUCUACUCAAUGUCAAAAAUAAAUAAUUUUCUCUUUACAAA